Molecule: unclassified non-coding RNA, 525 nt
Filed under: Hevea brasiliensis (rubber tree)
Lineage: Eukaryota; Viridiplantae; Streptophyta; Magnoliopsida; Malpighiales; Euphorbiaceae
Source: RNAcentral
GAAGAAGAAGAAGAAGAAAGGAGAGAGAGAGAUAGAGAAUUAGAGAGAAAUUGUGUAAUCUGUAUUCAAUGAAUCCCAUCGGUUACAACUUCAGUCUUUAUAUAGACUUUGCAAUUAUUCCUACCACUUCUUGUUAUGAAUCUGUUACAAUUAACAACUAUUAACACCCUAUAACAGAAACUAACUCUUGUUUACUAACUUCAUAUAUCACAACACCUAGCUUGCUUAAUGCUAAUAAGAUUUGGUGAAAGUUUUAGGUUGGAUGCCUUGCCACCUAAUCUGAUCCUUGCCUUCACCUGGGCCUUUUAUAUGUGGUGUGAAUAAAUUAAAAUUGCAUCCGACGGUGAUAUAAUUGUUUGUGCAUUCUUGAAAACAGUUCAAUUUGUGUUUUGCUGUUUAGCUGCUAAUACUUGCUAGACUAGUUUUAAAUCAUCAUCAUACCAUUAGCAAUGAUCACUCAUUCAGUCUAGUGAUUGCUGAAGAACCAAUGAAUCUUUAAUUUUGUUGGAAUUGAUGAGAUUCCAU